Long non-coding RNA from Thamnophis elegans (Western terrestrial garter snake), 785 nucleotides. RefSeq lists it as uncharacterized. Lineage: Eukaryota; Metazoa; Chordata; Lepidosauria; Squamata; Natricidae. The record is from RefSeq and is a predicted model, not a curated record. The transcript is spliced from 2 exons.
GAAGAGCCCUCCGUGCGCGCGCGCGCGCGCCUAGCUAUUCCUCACCUCUUCCCCCCCUCAGCCCCCUCCCCCCCGACUUUAAAAGGGGGUGAAACAGACUCUUGGGGGGGGGGGGGAAGGUUAGCAGCAUAUGUACAGUUCUCGCCCUGGUGUGGUUUUUUUUCCCCUGAUCCCAAAUUUCCACAACUGGUAGUCGUUUCUAGCUGACCAGAAAUGCUGACCCUUUUUGGAAGAAUGGUUUUAAAAAAAAGGAGUGAGGCAUCCGCUUUUUUUAAAUGCUUUUUCCAGGGUUCGGUGCCAUACAGCUAUAGUCCUUGGCUUAGGACUGAGCCCCACCCUUUGGAGAGUUUUGCCUCCUUUUACGACCUUUCUGGACACCGUUGUUAAGGGAACCGCUGCAGGGGUUAAGUCAGCAACGCAGUUCUUUGAAAUGAAUCCUCGUCGACUUUGCUUGUCAGAAGGUCACAAAAGGGGGGAAUCGCGUGGCGCUGAGACACUCCGACCGUCGGAAAAAGUUUUGCUCUUGUGGGUGUCAACAAAACUCUCCGGAUCUUUCUGGGCUCCUCUUCAAGCAGGGGGCCCCAACGUGGUUUGCACAAGAGGCUCAGCUACCAACAUGGAAAAGGAGUGAAACUCCAAAGGGGAGGAUGAAAAUGAAGCAUAAUGAAGAGAAAAAAACUGGGCUGGUUGCCCUUUACUCACAUCUUCCCUCGGCGUGGCAGGCUCAGCUCCUUCUGGAUGAAGAAAACAGAAAAUAAAAGAGUGUCUACAUGGCUUCUGUAUCA